RNAcentral lists this unclassified non-coding RNA (235 nucleotides) under uncultured fungus. Its description in RNAcentral is "sequence contains ITS1, 5.8S rRNA gene". The stretch from base 187 to 235 matches the Rfam family "5.8S ribosomal RNA", at positions 1 to 49 of the family's 154-position model. The record is from RNAcentral. Lineage: Eukaryota; Fungi.
UCUCCGUUGGUGAACCAGCGGAGGGAUCAUUACAGAGUUUUUAACUCCCAAACCCAUGUGAACCUACUAUUUUGUUGCCUCGGCGGGUUCUGCCUCCCAUCUCGGGAGCAGGCUCAAGCCCGCCGGUGGCCCCUAUAAACUCUGUUACUUAUAAGCAAUCUGAGCGUUUUCCAAAAAUAAAGUUAAAACUUUCAACAACGGAUCUCUUGGUUCUGGCAUCGAUGAAGAACGCAGC